CUAAUAAAGUGGACAGUUAGAGUAUGCAUUAAUGUUGCCAUACAAUAUUCUUUCCACAUCUAUUCAGCUCAGUAGAGGACUCUUUAGCUUGAAAAUUAAUAGUCAAUUUUUUUUUUUAAGUCCCUACUGAAAUUCUAUCUGACCCAAAAUGCACUUUCAGGGGACAUAUCUCUCUCCCGCUAAAUAUCACUCUACAUGCCUUUGAUUCUCUGUUCCCCUUGACAGUGGUGUGUCUGAUGUGCCUCAGCUGCCAAGAGUGACUGGCAGCGAUUCUGUAUGAGUCAAAGCCAGCAGCUGCUAGAUGAUGGUGUAGCAACAAAGGCUUCUACCAGAUGGAUUGCAAUCAUUAUUCCUCUCUAGAAGGAAAAAGAGUGGUAGAGAGUUCAGAAGUUGUAAGCACAAGUUCAGCACAACAGCUCAGUAAGUCUGAGAAGAGCAGGUGUGCGACAUAAACCUGAGCUACUAAAACAUGUAUUCUUACAAUGUCACUUAAAGCUUCAUGGUGUUAAGCUGAGGUAAGAUAUUUGUUUAUUUACAUUCUCAUUGUCACUGAAUAUUAUUGUUUUUUGCCUCACUCUAUAUAUAUAUUUUUUAACUAUAUAACAAUUUUAUAAUGCUAUAAUUGAAGAAAGAAUGUAGCCUUAUCAGUGACUUGCUUUUGUUGUGGCAUUACAGGUUUAAUGCAUGGACUUGCCUAAACACACUGAGCGUUAAAGGGAAAGGAACCACAAGCAAAGCCAGUUAAAUAGACUAAAAAAACACACCGCACGAGUGUAACGAAGAGGAAACAUACCUUUCUGUCAACCAGGAAACAAAAAGGAAACCUGAGGUAAACAGAACAGACGAUAUACAGUACCUGGCGCGCGCUUGGGUGCUCGCUGCUUCCUCCUGGCCAUACUUGUAAAGGCAGAGUGCUCGGUCCUCACCAAUUCCACCACUUAUUUCAACCCCCUACAAGCUAGCGCUGUCUCUACAGCGCUAACGCACGUUCACCACGUUAAAAACGGAGCAGGUGGAAUGGUUUUGAGCUGCUGUUCUUUCUUCUUGUCGUCCGGUGAAACGAUAAGCGAGCAGGAAGGAGUCACGCGCUUCAGAGCGCGCUCCGGGCUCAUCACGUCACUCAAAAGUCCGCGAGCUAGAUUUCCCCCAGCAGCUGUCGGACACUCCCACGCCACGUUUCUGCUACAACAUGCUUGAUAUGAUCCCUUUAGUACACUGGUGAUUUGACUAAAACUCGAGGGCGUUU
Ictalurus punctatus (channel catfish) is the source of this 1246-nucleotide long non-coding RNA. NCBI's taxonomy places the organism in Eukaryota, Metazoa, Chordata, Actinopteri, Siluriformes, Ictaluridae. The record is from Ensembl.